Long non-coding RNA from Cervus elaphus (red deer), 794 nucleotides. RefSeq lists it as uncharacterized. The record is from RefSeq and is a predicted model, not a curated record. The transcript is spliced from 3 exons. Lineage: Eukaryota; Metazoa; Chordata; Mammalia; Artiodactyla; Cervidae.
UGCAGUCUGUGGGGUCGCAAAGAGUCAGACACGACUGAGUGACUGAACAACGAAAAAUUUUCCUUUUCUCUCCGUGGACACACAGGAUGAUGACUUCAUGAGCUUCCAGGGAUGCUGACCCAGGUUUCUUAAGGAGCAAACAGAAUACAGGAAGAACUCUUGAACAUCUACUUUCAAGUUUGCAAAACUCCUUGAGGUGAAAAAAUGAAAAAAUAAGUGAAAGAUUGGGAUAUCUACUCUGCUUGAGGUGGAUCGACCAGCAAAGGCUCAUUGAAACCCUCUCAACCACUUUCUCCCACCUUCUAAACUCGAAAGGGGGCAGAAAGGGACUCACAAAAGCCUCUUCUUCCUGAAGCCCUUGUAAUAGGCUCAUUAAGCACCCGCCUGGGCUUGUUAUAAAAUACUUUGGAAGCAGCCCGUAAGUAGCUGACUGUUUGUAACAGAUAAUAUCAAAUUGGAGAAACAUGUAAAAGCACAUACAAAAACAGUAAAACGAGAUGUAGUCUAAUGAUACCAGCCAAGCAAGCAGGGAAGUAAUUAGUCACUCCAUGUACAUAAUUUGGGAUGUGUAGAGAGCUAAUUUUAUGUGAGGCCAUGUCAGCUUCUAACUUUGUUGUUUUGUAUAUGGGGUAAAUAAAAGAUGUUCCAUGGAGAAUUCUGUAGCAUAGGAAACUGAGCAAGGCUGCUAUCUCAUUAUGGAAGUCACACAUCGUAUUUAUUAAACAUUGUUCUUAAGCCUCUCUUAAGAAUGCUGUAGAGUGUUUUGAUUAUUUAUGUUUUUCCUUUCAUCAGAU